GCAUUUUCAUUGGUGUUGGUGUCGUAUUUCUGAAUUAUGAACACUAAAAUCUUGUGUCUCUCUCUCUCUGGUUGCAUUUUGGAUCUCUGUAAACAUUUAUUUUGCCCUCCACUUUCUAUUCACCUAUUCUCACCAUCAACCUCUAGCAUAGCUUUCAUAUAUCUGCCAGGUGUAUGUCUAAUCAUGCCACAUUUAUUGUUUUGCAUUUACGUUUUUCAAGUCACCACAGUUUUACUACCUCCCUUCUUACAACAACCACUCGCUCUACAGAACUUAUCUUUAGCUUGGUCUGGCUGUUACGGUACCCUAAGUGGCCAUAGGUAGUGUAGCGGAUCGGCAAUAUUAAAUCCCACGAAUUCCGCUGGUACAGAAAGUAAUCCACAGUCAAGCGCUGAAAAGUAAGGCAAUAUCCCAAAUCCCCCAGUAACCGGACGAAACACAGUUCUGGGAGUCAACUGAGGUCUUUAUUCACAUGCUCCAGUAUUUAUACAAUUCCCCAUGCAAGGGGUUUCCUGAGUCACAUCACAGGGGCAUUACAGGAGUGGACUACAUGGGAAACAAUGUACAGGGCAUUUCUCCCAUCAGGCACUGCUGCACGUGAGGGACACUCCCACUGGAAUGUACCGUUAAGUGGAUUAUCCCUCCGUGCAGCAGAACUGACAAGUUACAUUAAAAUCUAUAACUUCAAUAAUACUUGGCAGAUUUAAACGAAUGGACGUUCGGUAGAUAGCUGGGGUCUGAAUGCACAGUUCGUGAGAACCCCGCUCAGAUCCCAGCUAAAACAACCGAACGCCGCACUAAAUACACUUUGCCAUAGAGUUCGCCCCAAAAUACCGAACACCGAUGGGGGACCCUAAUGGCGAAAGACUGGAGCUCCCGAACGGCCUGGAAGCCCAGCGGUGUUCGCGCCGUCGAGUAGCCGUUUUCAGUUCCAUGCGCUCGACAACCAAACACCGCUGGGAGGAACAAAGGAUCCAAGAUGGCCUACCGCCGCGUGGUCGGUAGCCGAACGACGGCCACCUAGGAGAGCCUCUAAUUACAGAUUGCAACAUUGUUGCAAUCGGUUAACAAGCGCCACACGUCCCUUAGUGUGUGGGCUAUUAAAAGAUAGUUCAUUUGGUUCAUGAACAGCCCGCAAAGGUGCUGUUCGUGAAACGAAACACAGUAAGGCUAUCUGCUUUCGGCAGAUAGCUGACAAGAUCAAUGAAACAUACAGAGAAGGCAGUCAAUUACAGCCAGGCACAUAGUACAGCACAAUAAAGAUAAAGAACUUUGUCCAAGUUAGUCCAAGUGGCUAGUUUUGCCACAGGUAGUUUUCAACUUCUUGUGCCAUUAUAUAGCUGUCCCGCGAGGCCAACUCCCAUCCUCAACUACGGAGGUAUUCGCCCCUUGGGCCAAAUCAUUCUUACUGCCUCGCAUCUCCGCCCUCUUGGCAAGAGCAGUUAGGGCCUCACAUGUCACGGCCAACUUAUUUAGAAUCUCUUUAAUCCUCAGAGGCCAACACCCCUCCACAACGCUCGGUGGCAAACAAACCCAACGGGCCAAAUCCUAGGUAGAACUUCUCAUCGCCACUUGGCAACUACUUAGGUUCCCAAGUCACUAAUUUAGCAUAACAUAGCUCAGCCAGUAUCUUGGUGUAAUACAGUAUCUCCCACUAACAAAUUUUCUUUUUCAGGUAUGGUUAUAAAUGCUGAUAAAAUGUAAAGUAUUGAUUGUGUAAUGUAAACAUGUAUUAAAGUGUUAAACUAUUAAGUUUUUCCCCUCUCUUUACAGACCUACCCGAAUGUCGAUUUCGGCACACCACAACCGACUUGUGCACCACUAACAUAACUCGGCUUAUUGUCCCUGUAAAGGAUUUCCAUAUACUUACCUGUGUGCCUUCAGUUAUAUCCCCUCCCUGCUGUUUAAAUACUUUUAACCGGUUCGUUUUUACUAUGUGUUUAAGAGAUGUAUUCUUUCUACCGAAGAGGGACCACCCUGGGUAGCAAUCAGAAUUUGGAACGUUGAGAAAACUGCAACAUAAUUGAGUGUUCCUGGGUGGCCAUCAUUCGGCAUACGAACACGUGACGAGAACAAAGGAUGGCGGCCAUCUUAAAUCUCCCGAAUGCGGUCAGCGGGACUUAUGCAUGAAUGGCCUGGAACUAUUUUCGGCAUGGCAACCACGCGAACGUCCGGUCAUUAUGGAAGUCCCGGCUGACUACUUUCUAUUCAAUAAAUCAAACCAGCAUUCGGGAGUUUGAAUCUACCGAAUGAGGGGAGCGUUUUCAUAUAACAUGCUGCAUCAUUCGUAUGGUAGUUUUCAUGUAAUUGGGCACGAACGG
This is a non-coding RNA of Pelobates cultripes (western spadefoot toad), 2321 nucleotides long. The record is from the annotation of a GenBank genome assembly. NCBI's taxonomy places the organism in Eukaryota, Metazoa, Chordata, Amphibia, Anura, Pelobatidae.